Long non-coding RNA from Peromyscus eremicus (cactus mouse), 476 nucleotides. RefSeq lists it as uncharacterized. The transcript has 2 exons. The record is from RefSeq and is a predicted model, not a curated record. NCBI's taxonomy places the organism in Eukaryota, Metazoa, Chordata, Mammalia, Rodentia, Cricetidae.
UCUGAGUCAUGACGGAAGCAAAAUGUCGCAGGUUAUACACACAUCUCACACACAGACCGUAUCGAUGGUAAACUGGAAUGUGUUUUCUUCAGAUCAGGUGAAGCUGUCUGGUGGUACAGAGACACUCAAAGGCUUUGCUGGAAUUAAACAAGGAAGAAGCUGUUCUUGUGCUCACUGGACUUUGGAAGGAAUUGGACACCUCAUGUCUGAGGUCUACAGCUCACACUCAAUACAGCCAUAGAGGAUCAUCAUGACACGCUUGCCCUGACCCAAAAGAACAGGGUGAAGACUCUUUCAGGGACACUAACUUACUUAAAGGUAAUCUGUGCUCCAUCUCCUUCCAUGGACUAAAAUGAGUGAGAACCACAGUUUCAGAGAUGCCACGUAAUCCCAGGUUAUUUACCUCACUGUGCUUUCCAGAGAGCAGAGGAUUACAGUAUCUUUCCACUCAACUCCUGUAGCAAAGAUGAAAUCAA